This 26-nucleotide microRNA is filed under the name Mus musculus (house mouse). RNAcentral describes it as "mmu-miR-6240". The record is from miRBase by way of RNAcentral. Lineage: Eukaryota; Metazoa; Chordata; Mammalia; Rodentia; Muridae.
CCAAAGCAUCGCGAAGGCCCACGGCG